RNAcentral lists this ribosomal RNA (489 nucleotides) under uncultured bacterium. RNAcentral's name for it is "partial 16S ribosomal RNA". It matches the Rfam family "Bacterial small subunit ribosomal RNA", at positions 30 to 506 of the family's 1533-position model. The record is from RNAcentral.
AUUGAACGCUGGCGGCAGGCCUAACACAUGCAAGUCGAACGGUAACAGGAAGCAGCUUGCUGCUUUGCUGACGAGUGGCGGACGGGUGAGUAAUGUCUGGGAAACUGCCUGAUGGAGGGGGAUAACUACUGGAAACGGUAGCUAAUACCGCAUAACGUCGCAAGACCAAAGAGGGGGACCUUAGGGCCUCUUGCCAUCGGAUGUGCCCAGAUGGGAUUAGCUAGUAGGUGGGGUAACGGCUCACCUAGGCGACGAUCCCUAGCUGGUCUGAGAGGAUGACCGGCCCACUGGGAACUGGACACGGGCCAGACCCCCACGGGGGGCAGCAAGGGGGAAUUUUUCCCAAAGGGGGGAAACCUGAAGGAAGCCCGCCGCGGGGGAUAAAAAGGGCUUCGGGUUUUAAAACUCUUUUAAGGGGGAAGAAAGGAGGUAAAGUUAACACUUUUCCUCUUGGCGUUACCCCACAGAAGAACCACCGGUAAACCCCGG